GUCUACGGCCAUACCACCCUGAAUGCUCCCGAUCUCGUCUGAUAUCGGAAGCUAAGCAGGGUCGGGCCUGGUUAGUACUUGGAUGGGAAACUAAUCACUUAAUGAUGACUUCAUUGGAU
RNAcentral lists this ribosomal RNA (119 nucleotides) under Chinchilla lanigera (long-tailed chinchilla). The record is from RNAcentral. Lineage: Eukaryota; Metazoa; Chordata; Mammalia; Rodentia; Chinchillidae.